AUUAUGGAGAGGUUCGUGGAGCUGUACAAAAUCAAGAGCGGCAUAGGAGGGCUAACUAGGCUCAUAAGAUGCUUCGGUGAUGAUAGCCCUACACAAAGGAAGAGGACAGAGGACCUCAUUUUCUAAAGGAAGAUCCCUCACACACUUUCAAGACUGUGAAGCCGACAGGUAUUGAAGACACGUUUUCUAGGAGGAUGAAAGUUGGCAUUGCGAUGGUGAAAGAAGAAGACAUCAUCGAUGUGUUGGUUGUCCUUGAGGCGGCAGUAAUCCUGUCUAAUCUGAGGAAUGUCUCAAGUGCCAUUUCCAUGCUGAUGGGCCUUCUUUUUGCCCUCAACAUAGACUAUCCAAAGGAACUUAAGGACAUCUUUGAAGUCAUUCAGAACAUCCUAAUGAACAUUGGUGGAAGGCAGUGCAUCUCACUAGUGCAUGGUCUAAGAAACAGACUCUUGCAGAAAGCCAUGCAGAACUGUAAUUGUAUGC
Oreochromis aureus is the source of this 480-nucleotide long non-coding RNA. The record is from Ensembl. Lineage: Eukaryota; Metazoa; Chordata; Actinopteri; Cichliformes; Cichlidae.